RNAcentral lists this ribosomal RNA (791 nucleotides) under uncultured bacterium. RNAcentral describes it as "bacterial SSU rRNA". It matches the Rfam family "Bacterial small subunit ribosomal RNA", at positions 8 to 796 of the family's 1533-position model. The record is from RNAcentral.
AGAGUUUGAUCCUGGCUCAGAUUGAACGCUGGCGGCAUGCUUUACACAUGCAAGUCGAACGGCAGCGCGGGGCAACCUGGCGGCGAGUGGCGAACGGGUGAGUAAUAUAUCGGAACGUACCCAAGAGUGGGGGAUAACGUAGCGAAAGUUACGCUAAUACCGCAUACGAUCUAAGGAUGAAAGCAGGGGAUCUUCGGACCUUGUGCUCCUGGAGCGGCCGAUAUCUGAUUAGCUAGUUGGUGAGGUAAAGGCUCACCAAGGCCACGAUCAGUAGCUGGUCUGAGAGGACGACCAGCCACACUGGAACUGAGACACGGUCCAGACUCCUACGGGAGGCAGCAGUGGGGAAUUUUGGACAAUGGGCGAAAGCCUGAUCCAGCAAUGCCGCGUGAGUGAAGAAGGCCUUCGGGUUGUAAAGCUCUUUUGUCAGGGAAGAAACGGUGAAGGCUAAUAUCCCUCGCUAAUGACGGUACCUGAAGAAUAAGCACCGGCUAACUACGUGCCAGCAGCCGCGGUAAUACGUAGGGUGCAAGCGUUAUCCGGAUUCAUUGGGUUUAAAGGGUGCGUAGGCGGCUUUUUAAGUCAGUGGUGAAAUCUUGCCGCUUAACGGUAAAAUUGCCAUUGAUACUGAAAAGCUUGAGUACAAUUGAGGUAAGCGGAAUGUGUAGUGUAGCGGUGAAAUGCUUAGAUAUUACACAGAACACCGAUUGCGAAGGCAGCUUACUAAACUGUUACUGACGCUGAUGCACGAAAGCGUGGGGAGCGAACAGGAUUAGAUACCCUGGUAGUCC